Molecule: ribosomal RNA, 251 nt
Filed under: uncultured bacterium
Lineage: Bacteria
Description: partial 16S ribosomal RNA
Rfam family: Bacterial small subunit ribosomal RNA
Source: RNAcentral
UACGUAGGUGGCAAGCGUUGUCCGGAUUUACUGGGUGUAAAGGGCGUGCAGCCGGAGAGACAAGUCAGAUGUGAAAUCCACAGGCUCAACCUGUGAACUGCAUUUGAAACUGUUUCCCUUGAGUAUCGGAGAGGUCAUCGGAAUUCCUAGUGUAGCGGUGAAAUGCGUAGAUAUUAGGAAGAACACCAGUGGCGAAGGCGGAUGACUGGACGACAACUGACGGUGAGGCGCGAAAGCGUGGGGAGCAAACA